Molecule: ribosomal RNA, 710 nt
Filed under: uncultured bacterium
Lineage: Bacteria
Description: bacterial SSU rRNA
Rfam family: Bacterial small subunit ribosomal RNA
Source: RNAcentral
CGAGGGGCAGCGGGGUAGUGCUUGCACUACUGCCGGCGACCGGCGCACGGGUGAGUAACACGUAUGGAACCUGCCCGCAGCAGGGGGAUAAGCGGAAGAAAUUCCGUCUAAUACCGCGUAACAACGUUGGGAGGCAUCUCCCGAUGUUUAAAGAUUUAUCGGCUGCGGAUGGCCAUGCGGCGCAUUAGCUAGUCGGCGGGGUAACGGCCCACCGAGGCGACGAUGCGUAGGGGUUCUGAGAGGAAGGUCCCCCACACUGGUACUGAGACACGGACCAGACUCCUACGGGAGGCAGCAGUGAGGAAUAUUGGUCAAUGGCCGAGAGGCUGAACCAGCCAAGUCGCGUGAGGGAAGACGGCCCUACGGGUUGUAAACCUCUUUUGUCGGGGAGCAAAGAGAGCCACGUGUGGCUCAUUGAGAGUACCCGAAGAAAAAGCAUCGGCUAACUCCGUGCCAGCAGCCGCGGUAAUACGGAGGAUGCGAGCGUUAUCCGGAUUUAUUGGGUUUAAAGGGUGCGCAGGCGGAGGUGCAAGUCAGCGGUCAAAUUGCGGGGCUCAACCCCGUACUGCCGUUGAAACUGCAUCCCUUGAGUGCGCGAGAAGUAUGCGGAAUGCGUGGUGUAGCGGUGAAAUGCAUAGAUAUCAGAGAGAACUCCGAUUGCGAAGGCAGCAUACCGGCGCGCAACUGACGCUCAUGCACGAAAGCGUGGG